RNAcentral lists this ribosomal RNA (383 nucleotides) under Neopromachus dyselius. RNAcentral describes it as "partial 12S ribosomal RNA". Lineage: Eukaryota; Metazoa; Arthropoda; Insecta; Phasmatodea; Phasmatidae. The record is from RNAcentral.
UAAACUAGGAUUAGAUACCCUAUUAUUUUGAAUGUAAAUUUUAUACCUAGGUAGUAAUAGUUUUAUGCUUUAAACCUAAAGAAUUUGGCGGUGUUUUAGUCCAUUCAGAGGAAUUUGUCCCAUUAUCGAUAGUCCUCGUUAUAUCUUACUUGAAUUAUUAGUUUGUAUAUCGUCGUUAUAAGCUUAUUUUUUAAGAAUUUAUUUGCUUUUUAAUAUAUUUAUUUAUAUUUCAGAUCAAGGUGCAGCUUAUAUUUAAGGGGUGAUGAAUUACAAUAUUAUUUUAAUAUAUGGAUAUGGAUUUUAUAUUUUUAUUGAAGGUGGAUUUGUUAGUAAUUUUUACUAUAAUAUUAUUUUGAUUUUGGCUCUAAAAUGAGUACACAUCG